Molecule: ribosomal RNA, 524 nt
Filed under: uncultured bacterium
Lineage: Bacteria
Description: partial 16S ribosomal RNA
Rfam family: Bacterial small subunit ribosomal RNA
Source: RNAcentral
GACGAACGCUGGCGGCGUGCCUAAUACAUGCAAGUCGAACGAAGCUUUUUUAACUGGUGCUUGCACCGACUUAAACAACUGAGUGGCGAACGGGUGAGUAACACGUGGAUAACCUGCACCAAAGCGGGGGAUAACAUUUGGAAACAGAUGCUAAUACCGCAUAACCACAGAAACCACAUGGUUUCUGUGUCAAAGAUGGUUUCGGCUAUCACUUUGGGAUGGACCCGCGGCGUAUUAGCUAGUUGGUAAGGUAAUGGCUUACCAAGGCAAUGAUACGUAGCCGAACUGAGAGGUUGAUCGGCCACAUUGGGACUGAGACACGGCCCAAACUCCUACGGGAGGCAGCAGUAGGGAAUCCUCCACAAUGGACGAAAGUCUGAUGGAGCAACGCCGCGUGAGUGAAGAAGGUUUUCGGAUCGUAAAACUCUGUUGUCAGAGAAGAACGUGUGCGAGAGUAACUGUUCGUGCAGUGACGGUAUCUGGCCAGAAAGCCACGGCUAACUACGUGCCAGCAGCCGCCGUAA